This is a small nuclear RNA of Microcebus murinus (gray mouse lemur), 63 nucleotides long. Its record names the gene U7. It matches the Rfam family "U7 small nuclear RNA". From Rfam's summary of the family: Animal histone pre-mRNAs are spliced by a different mechanism than nuclear pre-mRNAs and self-splicing introns. The record is from Ensembl. NCBI's taxonomy places the organism in Eukaryota, Metazoa, Chordata, Mammalia, Primates, Cheirogaleidae.
CAGUGUUACAGCUCUUUUAGAAUUUGUCUAACAGGUUUUCUAGUCCUCACUAGAAGAACCCCC